RNAcentral lists this small RNA (603 nucleotides) under Pan troglodytes (chimpanzee). RNAcentral describes it as "retained intron". Lineage: Eukaryota; Metazoa; Chordata; Mammalia; Primates; Hominidae. The record is from RNAcentral.
UUUUUUCAGGCGGCCGGGAAGAUGGCGGACAUUCAGACUGAGCGUGCCUACCAAAAGCAGCCGACCAUCUUUCAAAACAAGAAGAGGGUCCUGCUGGGAGAAACUGGCAAGGAGAAGCUCCCGCGGUACUACAAGAACAUCGGUCUGGGCUUCAAGACACCCAAGGAGGUGCGGGGGAACCUCAGAAGAAAGAAGGGGACCGUGGCGUUCCUGCACGUGUGCCCACGACGAGUUGCCCUGCCUGCAUCUAAGUGGCUUCUGGGGCUGCUGGGAAUUGUAGUUGCUUCCCUGAGGCCACGCCCCUGGCUCUUUUAAGGAACCGCCCGCCCAAGGCUCACUCCUUUAUCUUUCCUAUCCUUUCAGGCUAUUGAGGGCACCUACAUUGACAAGAAAUGCCCCUUCACUGGUAAUGUGUCCAUUCGAGGGCGGAUCCUCUCUGGCGUGGUGACCAAGAUGAAGAUGCAGAGGACCAUUGUCAUCCGCCGAGACUAUCUGCACUACAUCCGCAAGUACAACCGCUUCGAGAAGCGCCACAAGAACAUGUCUGUACACCUGUCCCCCUGCUUCAGGUGAGCGCAGUGGCCCAUCAGGUUGCUCAGGCCA